AGCGGCGGACGGGUGAGUAACACGUGAGAAUCUGCCCAUUAGUGGGGGAUAACCUGGGGAAACCCAGGCUAAUACCGCAUAAUCCCUACGGGGGAAAGCAGGGGACCUUCGGGCCUUGUGCUGAUGGAUGAGCUCGCGUCGGAUUAGCUUGUUGGUGAGGUAAUGGCUCACCAAGGCGACGAUCCGUAGCUGGUCUUAGAGGAUGAUCAGCCACACCGGGACUGAGACACGGCCCGGACUCCUACGGGAGGCAGCAGUGGGGAAUCUUGGACAAUGGGGGCAACCCUGAUCCAGCCAUGCCGCGUGUGUGAAGAAGGCCUUCGGGUUGCAAAGCACUUUCAGUAGGGAGGAAGGCUUAUCCUUAAUACGGAUGAGUACUUGACGUUACCUACAGAAGAAGCACCGGCUAAUUUCGUGCCAGCAGCCGCGGUAAUACGAAAGGUGCAAGCGUUAAUCGGAAUUACUGGGCGUAAAGCGCGCGUAGGCGGUUUGCUAAGUCAGAUGUGAAAGCCCCGGGCUCAACCUGGGAACUGCAUUUGAAACUGGCAGGCUAGAAUGCAGUAGAGGGAGGUGGAAUUUCCGGUGUAGCGGUGAAAUGCGUAGAGAUCGGAAGGAACACCAGUGGCGAANGCGGCCUCCUGGACUGACAUUGACGCUGAGGUGCGAAAGCGUGGGGAGCAAAC
RNAcentral lists this ribosomal RNA (683 nucleotides) under uncultured bacterium. RNAcentral describes it as "bacterial SSU rRNA". It matches the Rfam family "Bacterial small subunit ribosomal RNA", at positions 94 to 773 of the family's 1533-position model. The record is from RNAcentral.